Molecule: non-coding RNA, 72 nt
Organism: Danio rerio (zebrafish)
Lineage: Eukaryota; Metazoa; Chordata; Actinopteri; Cypriniformes; Danionidae
Source: Rfam
GGCUCGUUGGUCUAGGGGUAUGAUUCUCGCUUCGGGUGUGACAGGUCCCGGGUUCAAAUCCCGGACGAGCCC